RNA transcript from Ostrinia furnacalis (Asian corn borer), 2132 nucleotides. It is a transcript of the gene named neither inactivation nor afterpotential A, with no coding region annotated. The record is from RefSeq and is a predicted model, not a curated record. The transcript is spliced from 2 exons. Lineage: Eukaryota; Metazoa; Arthropoda; Insecta; Lepidoptera; Crambidae.
AAUGGCAAUCGCUACGGUAUUAACCGCUGAAAACUUUGGCAUGCUUUCGGUAAGGACACUUUUAUUGACUUCAAAAGUGACAUUUUCCUAUAUAAAUUUUUUAGCAAGUGGUAGCACUUACCGCUAUAAAUGAUCAUGAUCGCCAUUUUUCUUAUUAGCGCUUACAAGCGCUAUUUUCGGCCAAACGUCCCCCACUGUUGUCAGAAGAAAAAGUAAACAAAUAUUACUUUUCUCUAUGAAACAAAUUGAUUGUUUGUUGAGGAAAAGUGAAUAUUGAAUUUAAUUUCUUUCGGAUCAACAGCUAUGGCUCAUGUUUUAGUAUUAGAUUCGACUAGCGAAGAUACAUUUUUCUGUGGUUCAUGUAAAGUUGUGUUCAAUUCGUUGACACUAUUUCUAGCCCAUAAGAAUAACCAAUGUAAAAAACAGUCUCAUGAUAAUGCUGAAGAGCCCACCAAAAGCAUAUCUGAAUACCAGCCGCUUAGUGCUUGUUCUGAACAAAUUCUUACACAAAUUGAACUCAAUGAAAACCUAAGUCCCAAAAUAAAUAAAGAUAAAUGUAAGAAGGAAAAUACAGUAGAUUUAGACAGUCAUCCAAAAAUGCAUGAGAAACCUCAUCAGUGUGUUAUUUGUGGUCGAUGUUUUAUACAGAAUUCCCACUUACAAAGUCAUGUUCUGACUCACAAAGUUUGGCCGGAUGGUAUAAGUGAAACAACAGCUAAGACAACUGGUGAGGACCUAUUAAGUUAUUCAUGUAUGUAUUGUGAUUCAACCUUACCUACUUAUAGCCAAUACAGGAUACACCUUAAGAAGCAUAUGUGUUUAAAAAAAUAUAAGUGUAUACAAAAUCAAUGCAACUGUUUUUAUGAUACAGUUGAAUCUUUAAUGCAUCAUGUAUCUAGUGCUCACAAAACAGUAACAUACAGGUGUCAUAAAUGUAAUAAUGCAUUUGAUUCAUUGGAAGAGAUUGCUUUCCACUAUGAAAGUAAUGACUAUAAGUGUAACAAUCCACCAAGUCCAACUGAAUUAUUUAAGUGUUCCCAGUGUGAUGCAAUGUUUACAAAAGCAGAGAAACUUUCGUUACACAUGCUCACAGAGAACCAUAAUAAGGUCUGUAUUCAUUGCAACAAGACAUUUUCAAGUGAUAAAAGAUUACGUCUACACCUUCAGGUGCACAGAAAAUUAAAACCAUUUAAAUGUACUAUUUGUAGUCAAAGUUUUCGCAUGAAAAAGUAUUUAACAACACAUUUACUAAAACAUGGAGAGAAAAAUUAUGAAUGCAAAGUCUGUAAAGGUCUUUUUAAGAGAAAAGAUUCCUUAAAUAGACAUAUGAACACACAUCAACAACGAAAAAUGUACAAAUGCCCCUUUACAGAUACAUUCAAUUGCAAAAAGGAGUUUAGCAGAAGUGACAAACUUAAAUCGCAUAUAAAAUUUCAUACAAACAAAAUGACAGGUCACAACAACCAAAAGGCACAAUGUGCUGCUGAUAGUGUAGAGAUUUGUAUAGUUCCAUUAGACAAUAAGAACAAAGAAUAAUUGAAGAUUUAUCCUAGAGAUCCAUUAUAAUUUUACAGAGUAGAAUAAAAGAAAGAAAUAUUUAUUACGAUGAAUAUCACAAAAGGACAAAAAGGGAAAUUUGAAGAAAAAAAAGACAGAAAUAGCACAUAAAACAUUAUAAAGAAAGAAAAUAAUUAACUGAGCUGUGCCACCCUGUCACAAUAGUGAUGCCCAUUGCAAUGGAACCCCACUCAGCUGUGACCCACGGUGAGGAAGGUCACGAUGCUGGUUUUCAGUUUGCCCCAUGCUGAGUCAUGGACUCUUAUCUAAACUACAUAAAAUAUACAUACAUAAGUAAUAAUAAUGCACAACAAAUAAAUGUUGAAUAUACAGUAAAUAAAAGAAGCUCUUAUUAAAUAAUAAUAAUAAUUUGAACAAAGCUUUGUGUAUGUGUACAUAAUAAUAAUAAACUUGUAAUGUAAAUAAGUGUUUGUAUAUCUAUUAUCUGAGUACUUACUUAGUAAUGAUUAAGGAUAUUUUUCCCAUCUUCAAAUUAUGAAUAACUCAAUACCGACGAAGCACCUGUGUGGUUUCAUCCUUCAACGCACGCCAAUUCAGAGUUACAGAUCAAGUCU